This 517-nucleotide ribosomal RNA is filed under the name uncultured Propionibacterium sp. RNAcentral's name for it is "bacterial SSU rRNA". It matches the Rfam family "Bacterial small subunit ribosomal RNA", at positions 38 to 567 of the family's 1533-position model. Lineage: Bacteria; Bacillati; Actinomycetota; Actinomycetes; Propionibacteriales; Propionibacteriaceae. The record is from RNAcentral.
AAUGGCGCGUGCUUACCAUGCAAGUCGGACGGUAAGGCCCCUUUCGGGGGGUACACGAGUGGCGAACGGGUGAGUAACACGUGAGGAACGUGCCCUUGACUUCGGUAUAGCUCCAGGAAACUGGUGGUAAUCCCGAAUAUGAGCCUGGCCUGCAUGGGUUGGGUUGGAAAGCUUUAUGCGGUCAGGGAUCGUCUCGCGGCCUAUCAGCUUGUUGGUGGGGUAAUGGCCUACCAAGGCAGCGACGGGUAGCCGGCCUGAGAGGGUGACCGGCCACAUUGGGACUGAGAUACGGCCCAGACUCCUACGGGAGGCAGCAGUGGGGAAUAUUGCACAAUGGGCGCAAGCCUGAUGCAGCAACGCCGCGUGCGGGAUGACGGCCUUCGGGUUGUAAACCGCUUUCAUCCAUGACGAAGCGCAAGUGACGGUAGUGGGAGAAGAAGCACCGGUUAACUACGUGCCAGCACCCGCGGUGAUACGUAGGGUACGAGCGUUGUCCGGAAUUAUUGGUCGUAAAGAG